Molecule: transfer RNA, 84 nt
Filed under: Desulfurivibrio alkaliphilus AHT 2
Lineage: Bacteria; Pseudomonadati; Thermodesulfobacteriota; Desulfobulbia; Desulfobulbales; Desulfobulbaceae
Description: Desulfurivibrio alkaliphilus AHT2 tRNA
Rfam family: tRNA
About the family: Transfer RNA (tRNA) molecules are approximately 80 nucleotides in length. Their secondary structure includes four short double-helical elements and three loops (D, anti-codon, and T loops).
Source: Rfam by way of RNAcentral
GCCCGGAUGGUGGAAUUGGUAGACACACGAGACUUAAAAUCUCGCGGCCGUUAGGCCGUGCCGGUUCGACUCCGGCUCCGGGCA